AAAAAACGCCAAAGAAAGAACACCCGAAACGCUAAAGAGACCACCCUUUCCUUGGGCUUUUUCAUCUCAUUUCAGUCUCACACUCACACUCAAUCACAUACACAUGCGUCUGAAAUGGUUAAGAAAAAUGGUUUGAAGUUCAGACAUCAAAGAUUGGAUGUUGCUUAGUCGCUGCUCACGCACGGAGCUCGCCUCUGAAGCGUUCUAUUUAGCAAAUAGAGUUUGACUGAGAUAAAACAGAAUCAAAAGGAGCUCUAGCCCGCAACGAAACUAAAAUGAAAUUAGUUGGAGACGGAUUCAGUGGGGCACCCCCUUAUAGCAGGUAUGCAACCAAACCUUCUUCUGAAGACUAUCUAUAAGUAGUAUUCAAAAGAAGAAAUUGAGGUUUGAUACCAUUUGUGUUCAAAAUAGGAUACCUCCUAGGUCAUUUCUUUUCUCCCCUUCUGCUGUUAUAGCUUCAACUUCUUUCUAAUAGCUGCUUGCUUGGCUUCAAAGCCUUAGCAGGUAUGCAACCAACCCUUCUUCUGAAGACUAUCUAUAAGUAGUAUUCAAAAGAAGAAAUUGAGGUUUGAUACCAUUUGUGUUCAAAAUAGGAUACCUCCUAGGUCAUUUCUUUUCUCCCCUUCUGCUGUUAUAGCUUCAACUUCUUUCUAAUAGCUGCUUGCUUGGCUUCAAAUCCUUACAAUCCCUUCGCCGCCUCCACAGAAAGAUUGGUCACUUUCUUUUUUUUUAAGAAAUAUUUUCUUGCAUUCAAUUUAGAUGUUCAUGUUUGUUUAUUUCUCUUGAACUCUAAUCGUGUUUGCUUCAUCUCUCAGCCGGCUUCCAAGGAACAUCUACUUCUAUUGUCGAACCAAACAAGAUAUAUUUUUCCUAAAGAUAAGAACCGGAAAGAUCUAAAGCUGAACGAAAUUCUACCGGAGAUGAGUAACAACGGACAAGUCCAAAUGAUGAUCAGCCAGCUAUUGUUCAAACAGCGCUUGUUGCUCCUGAGGGUCCUUUAGCUGCGGAUCCAGUUCAGCCGAAUCAAAAUAAAAAGGUGCCGUUCACAAGCGAGGAAGUUGGUCUGUUGAUUCAGGGUAUAACUGAAUUUGGAAUAGGCAACUGGGCAGCUAUUAAAAGAAAAUAUUUUUUGCAAAGACGGCGAACCUCUGGUGCCUUGAAGGUUAAUUAAAUCUUUUCUUUUUAAAAUUCUAUAAGAGUUCUAUUUUACUUCAAAACAUUUCUUUGUUACACAGCACAAAUAUAGAAGUUUGUGUACAACAGCCAAUAAUCCCCCAAACAAAAGAAAGGGAAAGGGAGAAUUCAAGGUGGACGAGGAAGCUCUAGCAAGAGUUAGAGAAGUUGAGGUUAGACAUCUGAUCACGAAAGCGAAAAUCAAGAUAUAGUGAGUUUAUGUUUUUCAAUAAUUGUUUUGCUUUUGUCUUAUAGGCUUAAGCGUAAUGCCAAGGGGAGUGAAGAUUGAAGACUCUUACUACUUCUUAGUAGUGCCAAUUUUGUAAUUCAAGAGAAAUUUCCACUUCUCUAAUUGUGAAAAAAAUAUCUAAUUGAGGUUAUUGUGAUAGAGAUUAUAUUCAUUCCAUAGAAACGUAUUAGCAACAUUUAAUACGUUAAAGUUUGAUUC
Molecule: long non-coding RNA, 1621 nt
Filed under: Nicotiana benthamiana
Lineage: Eukaryota; Viridiplantae; Streptophyta; Magnoliopsida; Solanales; Solanaceae
Description: long non-coding RNA (NBEN_LNC027157)
Source: RNAcentral